GUUUAGCUGAAGCACCCCUCCUUUCUCUCCAGGUCCAUAUUCAAGCCUUUCAUCUUUGUUGAUGAUGUAAAACUUGUCCCCAAAGCACAGUCUCCUUGUUUUGGGGACAACGACCCUGCCAAAAAGGAGCCUCGGUUCCUGGAGAAGCCAGACCGCCGGCAUGAGCUGUACAAGGCCCACGAGUGGGCACGUGCUGUCAUUGAAAGCGACCAGGAGCAAGGUCGCCAGCUGAGAAAGACCAUGCUGGAACUAGAGAAGCAAGGCCUGGAGGCCAUGGAAGAAAUCCUGACCAGCUCUGACCCCCUGGACCCCACCGAAGUGGGGGAUCUUUUCUAUGACUGUGUUGACACGGAGAUUAAGUUCUUUAAGUGAAGUAAGCAUUCCCUUUCCCCUUCUUAUUUAAACGUUCCCACCUUACUAAAUUACCAGCAAAACAAGCCACUCUCCUGUGUGAGUAAAAUGAGAAAGUUCCGAUGUGUUAAAGUCACACUCUUGUGUUCUGCCUUGAAGCUCAACAACAACCCCUUCUCCUACCACGUAGCUUCCCUUCUUUUGCAAUGUAACGCGUCUCCAUUUGCCUGUCGUUCGAUUGUAUGACUAAUUGUGGAUUUUCAGCUGCUCUCAUUGCAUCUCAGUGACUGUGGACACAUUAGCCUUCUCACGGAGAGCAAGGGUUCAUCAGGCCUUGGAAGGGGGCUCCACAGUGCUAAGUGUGCAGGAAAAGCAACAUCUUUUGGUCUUAUGCUUUCUUUCAGUACUGGUUUCUUCCGGGUUAACCAAAGGGCCAGGGCUCUGUGUGUGUACUUGAGGGAGAAGCUUCCAGGCCUCCCUUCACAUGGGUGCAUGCCUGUCAUGCAGAGUUCUCCAGAUGUGUCUGCUGAGGGACACAGCCAAUGGGGAGGAACAAAGGGGGCCCCUCUGUGGUCCCAGCUCAUCCUGAUCCCCGUGAUCCCAAAGAGCCUGUCUUCUCUACCCUGCGCCUCGUGUGCGGGGGACCCACAGACGGCCCCUGCGCAGGAGAGCUGGUUAGGGGAGUCAGCUGGAGGCGCCCACGGUAGAGACUCGGAGGCAGCCACACCGGGGCCUCCCUGAUUCACCGCACGGCCCUCCCCAGAGGCCUGCGGCUCUCCCUGCACACGCCCCCCCCCUUGGAUGUGGCUCCGUGUAGAAACGAUUUCGGGCUUGGUGAUGACCAUCUACGUCAGGAUGAAUUAAAUGGCUCCGUGGCACAGUUCCACCCCACGGGGCUGCGAAUUUCCCCAGCUAGCGAGGGAAAGAAAAGGAGAAACUCCUGACUGUUUAGAUUUCAGUUAAAGUAGCUGGAAUCUGAGCAGCGACUACGUGAUCUCAGCAGAGACUUUAAUUUAACUGAUUUGUUUCCAACGUCGUGUUCACACGGAGGAUCUCACUUACCACCAGAGCAUAGACGGGCGUGUGAGGACCAGAUGGGCUCAGCAUUGGGAAGACAGAGGGCAAGGAGGUGACAGAUGGAUGCAGAAGCAUUUCGCUGCAGGGUGGCGAUCCAACCCCAGCCUUCCUGCCCAGCUUGUUCAAUCCCACAAAGCUGCGUAGGAUGCAGCUGGCUCUCCCCGCCCUUCCCUUUAUUCCCAGUAGCUGCUCUUGGAAUGAAGGUAGCUGCAGGGGGCAGGUGUAGGGGGGGCUUCGCCCCAGCCACGGAAACUCUCAAGCACUGUGAAAUGCUCCGGGGGCGGAGAUGAUGAAUAGACGCGUAAGCAGGUGUGGCCGCUGGUGGAAGGACGGCCCUUUCCUUACUCCGGCCUCACCCGUACCCAGUUGGGCCCAAUCAUGCUUCGUCACUGGUAGGAAUUUGCAAGUGGAAAGAUUGUGAGCGUCAGUAAUCUCUGAAGUGACCUAGGGUCAGUGACUCUGCGCCGAGAGCGGUGCGCGACAGGCCAGGCGGGCCGGAAGGGACGGGGUCCCACACACGGAUGUGGGCACGGAGGGCCACGGGGCUUAUCCGAACACAUCUUGCUCUACCGACCUCCCUUGAAGGGUGUGGGUAUCAGAGCGCCACGAGCUUUUGGGCCAGCAGUUUUGUGAAUUCUGUCUGUGAAAGCAUGAACGGUGAGCGCUAGCAGAUGGGAAGGAUGUUUGGGCCGACAGAGUUACCACAGCCGUUGGUGGUGACUUGUAGUUGCUGAGUCUCAUCCAGGGCUUUCCCUGUUGAUGAACGCAGGCUCUCCUCUUAGAGGGAGCGGCCAUCCCUAGAGCAUCAGUUUACAGAUGCUAAGCUCGGGGGGUUCGUAACACAGGUACUUCGCCGCUCCUCAGUCCACCUGCUCAGUGGUUAUUUAAGACAAGGUGAUGUGGAAAGCCACCCUAAAAUUUCACCACGUGGUUUCACCUCCACCUGUUACAGAAACAUUUCAUCAGACCUGACACGUCUGAGGUACCAAGGUGAUUCGGGGUUUUACCAAAAGAAGUCUAGUGAGACUAAAUUACACAGAGGCCUGCUUUCAUUGUUAUGGGCCAAACAAAGGUCAUGGAUCACCCAUCCAGCCUACGCCGUUCCCUAGCCACUGUGAAGUGGGAAAUACAAUGGCUGCUUCCGUUAGGGGACAUUUGUCCAGCAUCUCAAAGAAGGGUCAACCCUAAAUGAGAAUUGUCUUAGCUAACACUGUACGUCACGAUUGUGAUGCCCCUGUCUUACCACCAGGGGGCGUGGCAGCCCUCCGUGGCACAGCCUGGCAGAAGUUAAAUGGGGCUGGGAUGCUUCCAUCCGGCUCGGACGGGGUCUGUGUACAGUCAAACCCCCAAUAAUAGCAGUGGACGAAUUCUUUGUGCCUUGGGGGUUGUAGGGAAAGACAAGAAGAGAGUAAGGAACCUGCUGAUGCGGCUGGACUCACUUCUAGUGACUUUUAUCUACUGAGGUCAACUGCUUAAAAUAUGUUGUUGGAUUUUGAGCAGGCUGUUGGCGAGAUGUUUCUUUUUAAAUGCUCCUAACAGACUCUGCUUUUGAAAAAUGCUUAUCAUUACGUGGAUGAUUUCUUUACCAGGGAUUGCUUUUCUAAAGACAGUGUGGGGAAAUGAAUAUUCAAGAUGAACUAUGAAAGCAAUGUUUAAAGGUCAGUGUGUAAAUAAGCUUCCCGAAAUACCAUUGGAAUAUCCAUUAAGACUUGGAUGGGGGAGCUGUGCAUGCUUUGUGCAGAAAGAAGACAUGGCCAGGAUAGAAUUUCUCCCCUAUUUCCAUGCCCCAUAACCGAACAUAAGCUACUUAGUCUUGUCUAGUAGAUGGGAUUUACCAUAGAUGAAGACAGCCCUCAUCCCCUAAAGGUGAAAGAGGCUGCAAUAAAAGUAAAUUAGCAAAGCAGAGUAGUGCUCUUCAUUCUUGGAGGUUGGUUUGGAAUUCUAGGUAGAAUUCUAGGUAGAAUAAGGAUAUACUUGAAAUUAUGGUGAUUCUUUAGGGCCCAGUAACAUAAGACCCAGUGUUAUUAUUCGGAAGCGUCUUUCUUACAAGCUAACAGAGCAGGUGUAUGCCUAUUAGAUAUUAGCAGUGAAGUUCCUUCACUACUGGGUGAAUGGUUAGGUAUAAAAAAUAAUUACCAACCAGGCAAACCACCUUGCUCACUAACUUACAUCGUCCCACCUUAGUGCAGGUGUUACACCGCUCUGGCUGGCCCAGCAGGGAAGCCAGGUGGGACCAAUGUGUCUGCUAGGGAACCAUGAACUGCAUUCUUGCCUAAAGAACAGUUAAGUCAUUUGUAGGGGAGGUGUUCAGCUGAGCUCUCAGCUUUAGGAAGGAAGCACAUGGAAGGAGGAGGGAGGGGAGCCUGGGCCAUUCUUGUGUGGCGGGUCACAUGCACGUGUUGUCCCAGCACCACCCUGUGCCUCCCUGUGGCUGACAUUUCAUUCUGCACAGUCCCAAGUCCCAGCUCCCCGCCCACGGCUUGUGGCAAACGUGCCUGAUCUGGCUGACUUCAGACAUUCCGAAAUGGCACAUGCAGAUUUCUCAUGGGAAUGAGUAUGUACAUGUUUGCAGUCAUGUUGUGAGAAGUUAAAUGUGUGAGCUGGAAAAUGCUAUUGGCAGGGAAUAAUAAAAACGAAAAUCUUUCUGUUUCCUGCAGUGGGAACUGACCGUGUAGUCUUAACAGCCUUUUGUACAAAUAUCUAUGAACCAGAUAACUUCCCUAUCCAGUGCUUGCCCUUGGAAUUGUCUCUAAAUACAUCAAGCAUACAAUAAAAAAAAA
Molecule: non-coding RNA, 4208 nt
Organism: Leptonychotes weddellii (Weddell seal)
Lineage: Eukaryota; Metazoa; Chordata; Mammalia; Carnivora; Phocidae
Source: RefSeq, a predicted model, not a curated record